AUGAACACUGAGAGCAUUAUAAUGCCGCACCUGGAAAUGGAGUUCAACACAAGAGAAGGACAAGAAUUCUUCGACUUCUAUUUGAUUGUCGCCGGAUUCUCAGUUACCAGUGUUGCAGCAUCGAGAACAGCAAACAAGAAGAGGUACAAUGAAUAUAAAAGAAUCACAAUGAACUGUAACAAACAUGGCGAAACAAAAGAAGUAGAAAGAGAAAGUGUAGUACCUAUAAGGAGGACAACAGUUAUAGCAAAAUCAGAGUGCCAGGUAGUGAUGGUGAUCUCAGAAAAGCGGUGGCCACUGGAAAAUUCACUAUCAUCUCACUGUAAAAGAAACAGUCUCAAAAGAACAACUAAAAUUUACAGAAGCCAUAGGACCAUAAAUCCAUCAUCAAUGUAUUAUAAAUUAAACACCGGGAAACUAUGA
This 423-nucleotide ribosomal RNA is filed under the name Triticum aestivum (bread wheat). RNAcentral's name for it is "partial small subunit ribosomal RNA". Lineage: Eukaryota; Viridiplantae; Streptophyta; Magnoliopsida; Poales; Poaceae. The record is from RNAcentral.